CCUGAGGCAAGUCACGUAACCUCUCCGAGCUUGAGAAGCCCCACCUGGGGGAAAAGAAAGAGAAAAGAAAAGCAUUUCCUACACCACCUCCCCGGGCUGGUGCCGUCGUGGACAUAAAAGAUAGCAAUCAUGGGUUGGUCCCUGCUUCUCAAAGCUGAAGGCAUCAGAAGACGCCUUGGAGACAGCACCCCCCUGCUACUUCACUGGGUAAACUGAGGCAUGGGGAACAAGGACAAGGAGGCACAGGGGCUGGCAGACACCUGCAGGAGCUUCCUGACAGCCCCAGCACAUCUGCUAGAACUGGAGGAGGAGGAUCCCUGGCCUGUGCACUCAGAAGGCUAGAGAGACAGGGCAGAGCCUCAGGCCGGGACUGCAGCAACCAGGGAAGCACUGAGCCUGGAGUGCCCACUGAAAACUCAGAGGCAGCCCAACCAGAGCUGCUCCCGGCUGCUCUGCAGGCUUGGCCCCAUCCCCAUUCAUGUAGUCAUUCAACAAACCAGUAAAGGUCUCAGCCACUCCCAGGUCCUAUGGAUCCCAUAGUAGGCAAAACCAGACCCAGCCAGCUGCUUCACACCCCCGCCCUCCCUGCAUACAGCGUGGUGCUCACUGCACAAAGCCUAACGCCACACCUUCCUCAUCUCCCUGGGCCAGUUCUGGAUUCUCAUCCUAAGAAUGUCACUUCCACUAAAUUCCUCAUCUCUGCUCACCCACGCAGUGCUGUUUUCUGGGGCCUUGGCCGAGCCAAGAUCCUUCUCCAUUUCACAUCCCUGAUCUCAUCUUAUAGUGGCCUGGGAGAGAGAUGCCUCAUCUCACUUUAAUGAGGAGGUGCAGCCCCCGGAAGUCCAGAGGCCGGCUCAGGGCAGGAGAGCCUGAUCUAGUCACGAGCUGCCUCUUGGCUAUUGCUGCCAGGCUGUGACACUUGGGGACUCCCAAAUAUCUUCACCUUGUUCUGGAGUCCGAGCCGGCUGUAUUGUCUCUUGGACUUAAAAGGGCUCAGAGGCACAGAGCGGGAGGUUGCCCUCCUCAGGCUGCAUAGCGGGAAAGGCGACUUUCAGACUGAACCCGUUUAAUUUGAAGGACCACAUUCUUACCACAGAGUUAAUCAGAGUGUCGAGUGUGGGCCCCCAGCUCGAGUGUCAACAAAGGCAAGCAUAGUUUGCACACGCAUUUGUAGGAGUUGGGAUAAUGUAGUGACAGCUGUCCCGUGACAACCACAAGAGAUGGGUUCAGCAGCCCCAUCAGUGUCUCUUACACAAAAUGAUGUAGCACUUGAUAGACUUGUCAAAUCUGCUGCCCUUCGACCAUUUAUCCUCUGUUAUUUUUUUAUUUUGUUUUUUUAGUUUUUUGAGACAAGUUCUUGCUCUGUAGUCCAAGUUGGCCUUGAAUUCACUAUGUAGUGCAGGCUGAUCUCAAACUCACGGCAAUCCUCCUGCCUCAGCCUUCUGGGCUGUGAGUGCUGGGAUCACAGUUGUGCACCUGGCUUACCCUCUGUUUUUCAAUGUUAUGAGUAUAAAAUAUGUACAACUAGACAGGCAUGUUGGUGCAUUUCUAUAAUCCCAGCACUCGGGGCGGGGGGGCUGGGGAAGGAAGGUCAUAACAGGGGAAACCUUCAGAGGCCUGACUAUAUUUCCAGUUUGCAGGAGGCUGAAUCUGCAGGCGCAGAGUCCACAGACACCAAGGUUGCCCAUGCCACAAGCUAGGAGGAUUCAGCAACGAAAUUUAUUUUCUCAGUUUUGGAGACCAGAAGUCUGAGAUGGAGGUGGCAGUGGGCUCGGUUCCUUCUGAGACCUCACUUCUUGGCAUGCAGGUGGCCUGGGCUUGCUGUGUCUUCACAUGGGCAGCGCUGGUCUGUGAGCUGUCCGUGUCCUCAUCUGUUUGGACGAGGACACCAGUCACAAGGAUUAUGCUGCACCCAAAAAUUUGUUUUACCUUAA
Long non-coding RNA from Cavia porcellus (domestic guinea pig), 1934 nucleotides. RefSeq lists it as uncharacterized. The record is from RefSeq and is a predicted model, not a curated record. NCBI's taxonomy places the organism in Eukaryota, Metazoa, Chordata, Mammalia, Rodentia, Caviidae. The transcript is spliced from 2 exons.